ACUUCCAUGCCGAACUCAGAAGUGAAACGAAAUAGCGCCGAUGGUAGUGUGGGGCUUCCCCAUGUGAGAGUAGGACAUCGCCAGGC
This 86-nucleotide ribosomal RNA is filed under the name Vibrio parahaemolyticus. The record is from RNAcentral. Lineage: Bacteria; Pseudomonadati; Pseudomonadota; Gammaproteobacteria; Vibrionales; Vibrionaceae.